AACAUGUGGGGCCCACAUGUCAGUUCUAUCCCCUUCCUCUAAAAUUCCCCAUGGAGGAUCUAGAUCAGGGGGUCCCGUCACCUGCGAGCUCCGGUGGCCAUCCUCUGCACCGGAGACCUCCCCUGCCUGUGGUUGUGCCCGUCGGGCACCACCACCUACGCCCGUGAGUGGCUUGCGGGGUGAGGGGAUGUGGAAGCCAAGGCAUGGAAAGGGCGGGGCGGCGGGCGCGUGCUGGCAGAGCUCCUGCCGCGGCGGCGGAGAAAGAAGAGAUCGCCGGUGAGGCUCUUGUGGCCGAGGGGUUGCGGGCGUCGUGGGAGCCGCAGGGAGGAGUAGGAGGUCUUGGGCGAGACAGAGGAGGGGCAAUGGUGACAGCGCCAUGUACAAGAGUCCUCAGCCAUGGCGGCGCCCCUCACUUUGGUGGUCUCGGUCCGAUACGACGAGCAGAGGAUGGCGGCUGCUCGUGGUUGUGGCCUUGCGCCGCGCGGCGGUUGUGAAGCGCAUCGGGCCUGUUGCCGCCCGUCGAUGCGGACACCGGGUAGUAGCACGACUCGCCGACGGGAGGAUGGGAGGCACACUGCUCACCGGGGGAGGAGGGAGGGUCGCAGGGUGGUGGCUGGGUAGAUGGUUGGAGGAUGGAGGUGCUGAGGGGAAGGAGGUGGAGUGUGGCCUGAGCUGCGGCAUGGCGGCGCCCCUGAUCUGGAUCCUCGGUGGGGAAUUUCAGAGCAAGGAGAUGGAACUGGCAUAUGAGCCCCACAUAUUCACGGUCAAAGCAACGGUGUUGGCUAUUUCCGCAUUGAUGGGUGGGCCCAGCCUAUCAUAAUCGGGUUUAGUCCAUCACUUUUCAGACUGGUAGUUUUUAGCAAAGGAUUAGGAAAAAAAUGGUAGUUUUUCGUACAAAAUCAUAAAGUGGUAGUUUCUGGGCACGUUUUCAUGAAAUGUGGUAGUUUUUGGUUAAAUACUCGCUUUAUCACCACUCACCGGUUUGGUAAGUAAAAAUUGUGGUUCGAACUAUGCCUCGUUGAGCCAUCUGUGACUUAUGUCUCCAUUACAAAUGCAGCCAUAUGUGAUGGAGGAGGGGAUGGAGAGGAUACCAGCCAUGCGAUUCUUAAGUUUUGCAAUGGGAAACUACAUGGUGUGGAUUUGGUUUGGUUGGCUCGGGGAUGAUCCUUUGGUGAUGUGGCCUAAUGUUACCGGUUUUAUCGUGUCAAUCGUCUUGCUGAUCCUACAUGUGGUGAUAUCUGGGUGGGCGAUGGAGUACAUGGCGCUUCCGCACAACGACUGAAUGUGAUGGGAUCUGGAGGCGGACUGAUGAAUGAUGAUGAUCGUGCAGGUCUUCAAUUCUCAAAUCAAUGGGAAAACAAUUAGGUCUCAUAUCUGUUGCUGCAAUGAAUGUUUCUUCCGGGGGCAAUCUGAACUUAGUCUGGAGUUACUAUUUUUCUAUGUUCUGAGACUUCAUUAGCCUAAAGCUAUUUUGCAUGGUCCAAAACAAGAAAAUGUAGUAGUUUUGCUCAGAUUUAGGAUGGAAGCCUAGAGCUAUUGCUAUGUUCUGAGAUUUGUUAAGCCUGAAUUAAUUCUUGUCUGAAUGUCUGGCGCACGGAUAGUAUGGUUUAGCCUUUCGCAACAACAAAAAAUGGAUAGUCUUCAUGCGUGCACAUUUUCAGGGGGUUUACCCUCAUCUCAUGGGUGAUAUGGAACACAAGGAAUGAUUUCAUUUUGAGGGGGGAUCACUCCUAGUCUUCAUGCGUGCUGAAGAAAAUUCAAGGAAGAAAUGCAAUGGCUAGUGCACAGAGUCAAGCGAAAAUCAUCUGAAACACUUUCAGAUUGGGUUUUGGCUUUUAGAUAGUUCACAGUUCAGAGGCUCUCCCUUUGUUCAUUAGCUUCUUCCUCUUUCUUAUAUUCUUUUUUAUUCUUUCUUGUACAUAACUCAUUAUUCUGGAAAUUUAUAAAAAUCACUGUGGGUGGGAUGAAAUUCCUGCAGUCUGGGGUCAAAAACAUGAAGAUCCUCAAUAUUCACAAACAGAAGUCCAUCUGCACACCGUGCUUUUUGAAACAAAAACAGAAAAACUGUACACAUGGUGCUCACCGGCAUGUUGAAUUGAGUUCCAGUAGCCUUGACGGUUCUUGUGCCGCAU
Long non-coding RNA from Triticum aestivum (bread wheat), 2132 nucleotides. RefSeq lists it as uncharacterized. NCBI's taxonomy places the organism in Eukaryota, Viridiplantae, Streptophyta, Magnoliopsida, Poales, Poaceae. The transcript is spliced from 3 exons. The record is from RefSeq and is a predicted model, not a curated record.